RNAcentral lists this transfer RNA (31 nucleotides) under Riccardia chamedryfolia. Its description in RNAcentral is "partial tRNA-His". Lineage: Eukaryota; Viridiplantae; Streptophyta; Jungermanniopsida; Metzgeriales; Aneuraceae. The record is from RNAcentral.
CGGCCGAUGUACCCAAGUGAAUUAAGGCAGU